Molecule: ribosomal RNA, 494 nt
Filed under: uncultured bacterium
Lineage: Bacteria
Description: bacterial SSU rRNA
Rfam family: Bacterial small subunit ribosomal RNA
Source: RNAcentral
AAAGGAAUUGACGGGGGCCCGCACAAGCGGAGGAACAUGUGGUUUAAUUCGAUGAUACGCGAGGAACCUUACCCGGGCUCGAACGGCAUAUGGAGGCGGCAGAGAUGCCGCCGCCCCUCGGGGCAUAUGUCGAGGUGCUGCAUGGUUGUCGUCAGCUCGUGCCGUGAGGUGUCGGCUCAAGUGCCAUAACGAGCGCAACCCCUGCAUCCAGUUGCCAGCAAGCAGUGUUGGGGACUCUGGAAGGACUGCCACCGCAAGGUGAGAGGAAGGGGGGGAUGACGUCAAAUCAGCACGGCCCUUACGUCCGGGGCGACACACGUGUUACAAUGGCGGCUACAGAGGGGAGCUACCCUGCGAAGGGAUGCCAAUCUCGAAAAGCCGUCUCAGUUCGGACUGGAGUCUGCAACUCGACUCCACGAAGCUGGAUUCGCUAGUAAUCGCGCAUCAGCCAUGGCGCGGUGAAUACGUUCCCGGGCCUUGUACACACCGCCCGU